AGUUGCAGCCUAAAGCUGCAGAAGUGAAAAUGCUGCUCCUGGCUGGCUGGCUGGCUGAUCGAUCGAUCGAUCGAUCUCAGAUUCAGCAGUUGCUGGAAGGGAUUGGGGGUAAGAAGGAGCUGCUGGGACUCAACCAGGACAAGCCCUGAGACUGUAGGUGACUCACCUGGAGGAGUAAGUCACUGAGGACUCAUUGCACAGCAGAGAGAAAAUGUAGGCACAUGCAAGCAGUCAGUAGAUGUGCUAUUCAGGAAAUCUGCCCUCCUGUCUCAUUCUGUGCACAGGAGGGACCAGCUCUGGGGAUGAAUCAGGGUUAUGUAGUGAAGAAAGAUGUUGGCUGUAUGACCCCUGCUUCAUUUGUUGUGGACAUUGGAAGGUGUGUGGCAAAUGAGGCAAGGGAUGGCAGAAAGAGCAAGCAAGGAAUCUAUGCUGGUCCACAGAAUUCCUGUGUAAUGCUGGGAUAAUCCAAUAUAUUGAUAGCUGCCAUCUGCUAGUUUCUGAGCUCCAUGGAAUGCCACCCAGAUUCUAUCCCAGUGUAUGAAUCACUACACCCAAAUGAAUGGAAAAGAACUAUUGUGCACAUUCCCUUUGCUGGGGCCCAGCCCACCUCUAGGGCACUAAAUUAGGACUCAGGAAACCUGAUCUCUGCUUCCAGCUCUGCCACUGAGGUGGGAAAUGUGUUGUGCCUCUUUCCCCUCCCAUCAGUUGCUUGUCUUGCCUAUUGUAAUUGUAAGCAAUUUGGAGCUGGGACUCUUUCACUCUAUUCUUCUAGCACCUGACCACAAUGGGACGAUGGUCUCAUAUGGGGCCUCUAGAUGCUACCAUAAGCAUCAUCAUCUUCCCUGCUCAAGUCAAAGGACAGACGCCCAUUUGGUUCAGAGGGAGGUGGCUCAAGCCUUAAAUUGCAUCAGAGCAAAAUGUGACAUGUGGAGCAAUCUCAGUGGAUGUCCUGAUUAGCUGCAAGGAUAAGGAGGAAGCUGGACCUCCUGACUGGAGGAGGGGUUGUGGCUCAGUUCAAGGAAGCUGGGGAAGAGCUGCACAGGGCUAAACGCUCUUUCCCUCUUAGAACUAUUGUAAUUAAAUGCCACUCUGUGGCAAGCAGAGUUCCUUCCCUGUGGUUUGAUGGAGCCCCUGGCAGCUUGGCCUUCUCGGGCAGAUGUCCUCCCUUGUGUUUCUAGCCCAAAAGGGUGUUUGUUUGUUUUUUCCUGCUUAAAACUCUAGGAUUUCUUAAAAAUUGCUGAAUGAGUUGUGACCCAUACCAGUGAGCACAGCACGUAGCCUGCCAGGACCCGAGGCUCUGGGACUUCAUGGAAAAUGAAGAUUCAAAAGGAGGUUUGUAAGGUAAACUAAAGCCAAGGAGGCUUAAAAAGAACUGAGAUUAAUUGCCUUAAUAUAAACAGCAUUUUCUGGGAUGUCUGGAAUCAGCAUUUCUUCUGCCAUGCUGCCAAUCCUGACAACUUUAUUGAAAACUCCAGCUCCAGGAGCUGUAAGAAUUUCAGCUUUCAUUAAACAAACAAAAAAAAUAGAAGUUUACAGCCACCUGAUUAUGGAAAAAAAAACUGGAAAAUGGAACUCUAGCAUAACCUGAAAGCUCAAAACCAGCAAAGUAAAAGGAUCUCAAAUGUAUUGUGUGUAAAGAUGUGGGGUUUUUUUAAAGACAAACCAUCUCAUUGUUUUGUUCUGACUCAUGAUUUCUAAAUGCCUGCCAUUGGCAGUAAUGCUUCUGUUCAGUGCUGACAGCCCUAGACAAUAAUGGAUAACUCUUAGCUAACACUUCUUAGUGGUAGAUUUCAAGGCAUUUUACAAUGGAGUUUGGUAUCAUU
This is a long non-coding RNA of Dermochelys coriacea (leatherback sea turtle), 1823 nucleotides long. RefSeq lists it as uncharacterized. The transcript is spliced from 3 exons. NCBI's taxonomy places the organism in Eukaryota, Metazoa, Chordata, Testudines, Dermochelyidae. The record is from RefSeq and is a predicted model, not a curated record.